Molecule: microRNA precursor, 84 nt
Filed under: Caenorhabditis japonica
Lineage: Eukaryota; Metazoa; Nematoda; Chromadorea; Rhabditida; Rhabditidae
Description: mir-86 microRNA precursor family
Rfam family: mir-86 microRNA precursor family
Source: Rfam by way of RNAcentral
GUGCCGGCUAAGUGAAUGCUUUGCCACAGUCUUCCGAUCUCUGUCGAAUGUGAAGCCUGGGUCGAGAUUCGCUUAGGCCGGCAU